Molecule: ribosomal RNA, 279 nt
Filed under: uncultured bacterium
Lineage: Bacteria
Description: partial 16S ribosomal RNA
Rfam family: Bacterial small subunit ribosomal RNA
Source: RNAcentral
UGCCAGCCGCCGCGGUAAUACGAAUGGGGCGAGCGUUGUUCGGAAUAACUGGGCUUAAAGGGUGUGUAGGCGGUUUGUUAAGUUGGAUGUGAAAGCCUGUGGCUCAACCACAGAAUAGCGUCCAAAACUAUCAAACUUGAGUACGGAGGAAGAGAGUGGAAUUCUAGGUGUAGCGGUGAAAUGCGUAGAUAUCUAGGAGAAGACCAGUGGCGAAAGCGACUCUCUAUUUCGAUACUGACGCUGAGACACGAAAGCUAGGGUAGCGAACGGGAUUAGAUA